AGUGAACGCUGGCGGUAGGCCUAACACAUGCAAGUCGAACGGCAGCACAGUAAGAGCUUGCUCUUACGGGUGGCGAGUGGCGGACGGGUGAGGAAUACAUCGGAAUCUACUUUUUCGUGGGGGAUAACGUAGGGAAACUUACGCUAAUACCGCAUACGACCUACGGGUGAAAGCAGGGGAUCUUCGGACCUUGCGCGAUUGAAUGAGCCGAUGUCGGAUUAGCUAGUUGGCGGGGUAAAGGCCCACCAAGGCGACGAUCCGUAGCUGGUCUGAGAGGAUGAUCAGCCAACAUGGAACUGAGACACGGUCCAGACUCCUACGGGAGGCAGCAGUGGGGAAUAUUGGACAAUGGGCGCAAGCCUGAUCCAGCCAUACCGCGUGGGUGAAGAAGGCCUUCGGGUUGUAAAGCCCUUUUGUUGGGAAAGAAAAGCAGCAGGUUAAUACCCCGCUGUUCUGACGGUACCCAAAGAAUAAGCACCGGCUAACUUCGU
RNAcentral lists this ribosomal RNA (491 nucleotides) under uncultured bacterium. RNAcentral's name for it is "partial 16S ribosomal RNA". It matches the Rfam family "Bacterial small subunit ribosomal RNA", at positions 29 to 506 of the family's 1533-position model. The record is from RNAcentral.